CCCUUAGAUGUUCUGGGCUGCACCCGUGCUACACUGGCAGGUUCAGCGAGCUUCAUGCCCUGAUCUGAAAGGAAUGGGAAAUCUUUUCAAAACCUGCCGUGCUUGGGAUAGAUGUUUGCAAUUAUUCAUCUUCAACGAGGAUUGCCUUGUAAGCGCACGUCAUCAGCGUGCAUUGAAUACGACCCUGUAUUCUGUACACACCGCCCGUCGCUCCUACCGAUUGAAGUUUUCGGUGAGUUGACAGGAGGAUUUUUUUGAAACUGGUUCGCCAGUGGAUUUUAGAUCCAAAUGCCAACGAAUCGAUGGCUUUAGAGGAAGGAGAAGGCGUAACA
This 332-nucleotide ribosomal RNA is filed under the name uncultured eukaryote. RNAcentral's name for it is "partial 18S ribosomal RNA". It matches the Rfam family "Eukaryotic small subunit ribosomal RNA", at positions 1470 to 1796 of the family's 1831-position model. The record is from RNAcentral.